AUGCUUGCUUCAGCAGUACAUAUACUAAAAUUGGAACAAUAUAGACAAGAUUAGCAUGGCCCCUGCAUUUAAAAAUAAAAAUAGGCCAGGUGCAGUGGCUCACACUUGU
RNAcentral lists this small nuclear RNA (109 nucleotides) under Pan paniscus (pygmy chimpanzee). Lineage: Eukaryota; Metazoa; Chordata; Mammalia; Primates; Hominidae. The record is from RNAcentral.